Molecule: ribosomal RNA, 627 nt
Filed under: Caenimicrobium sp.
Lineage: Bacteria; Pseudomonadati; Pseudomonadota; Betaproteobacteria; Burkholderiales; Alcaligenaceae
Description: bacterial SSU rRNA
Rfam family: Bacterial small subunit ribosomal RNA
Source: RNAcentral
GGUGAGUAAUGUAUCGGAACGUACCCAGUAGCGGGGGAUAACUACGCGAAAGCGUGGCUAAUCCGCAUACGCCCUUUGGGGGAAAGCGGGGGACCUUCGGGCCUCGCACUAUUGGAGCGGCCGAUAUCGGAUUAGCUAGUUGGUGAGGUAAAGGCUCACCAAGGCGACGAUCCGUAGCUGGUUUGAGAGGACGACCAGCCACACUGGGACUGAGACACGGCCCAGACUCCUACGGGAGGCAGCAGUGGGGAAUUUUGGACAAUGGGGGCAACCCUGAUCCAGCCAUCCCGCGUGUGCGAUGAAGGCCUUCGGGUUGUAAAGCACUUUUGGCAGGGAAGAAAAGGUGCCGGUGAAUACCCGGCGCCGCUGACGGUACCUGCAGAAUAAGCACCGGCUAACUACGUGCCAGCAGCCGCGGUAAUACGUAGGGUGCAAGCGUUAAUCGGAAUUACUGGGCGUAAAGCGUGCGCAGGCGGCUCGGAAAGAAAGAUGUGAAAUCCCAGGGCUUAACCUUGGAAUGGCAUUUUUAACUCCCGAGCUAGAGUAUGUCAGAGGGGGGUAGAAUUCCACGUGUAGCAGUGAAAUGCGUAGAGAUGUGGAGGAAUACCGAUGGCGAAGGCAGCCCCC